CAAGACUGUAGGAAAAAAGUUACUGAGCUCCUGCGACUAACCCCUUUUCAGUAGCCCUUCCCACGCCAUCUCCCGAGCUUUCUUUCUAGUCUCUCGGUGCUGCCCCUCCCUCACCUCUCUCCACACGGCUUUGGAUUGAACAGGCCAAGCCUCUCCCCCAAACCCACGAAGAGGCUGAGAAGUCCCAUGAUCUGCCACUUGCAAGCUGGAGAACUGGGAAAGCUGGCGUUGUAAUUCAGUCUAUGUCUGAAGGCCCAAGAACCAGUGGAACCAAUGGCUGAAGGCCUGAGAAGGGAGGGGGUGGUGUGCUGGAGGAAGUCCCAGAGUCUGAAGGUCUAAGAACCGGAAGCUCUGACGUCUGAGGACAAGAGAAGAUGGAUGCCUCAGCUCAAGAAGAAAGAGAGAAUUCAUCCUUCCCCUUUUUGUUCACCUGGGCUCUCAAAGGAUGGGAUGAUGCCUGCCCGUAUUAGUAAAGGUGGAUCUUCUUUACUCAGUCUGCUGAUUCAAAUGCUACUCUUUUCUGGAAACAUUAUCACAGACACACCAAGAAUUAAUGUCUUACCGGCUGUCUGUGUGCCCUUUAGCCCAACCAAGUUGACACAUAUAAUUAAUCAUCACACCCGUGUUCUGGCUUUUACCUAUGUUUUUAGUGUUCUAAGCACAUUGGCCUUUUGCUGUUCCUCAAAUAAAUGAAGCAUAUUCUAUA
Long non-coding RNA from Felis catus (domestic cat), 706 nucleotides. RefSeq lists it as uncharacterized. NCBI's taxonomy places the organism in Eukaryota, Metazoa, Chordata, Mammalia, Carnivora, Felidae. The transcript has 2 exons. The record is from RefSeq and is a predicted model, not a curated record.